RNAcentral lists this transfer RNA (86 nucleotides) under Hypoxylon sp. FL1857. Its description in RNAcentral is "tRNA-Asn". It matches the Rfam family "tRNA". From Rfam's summary of the family: Transfer RNA (tRNA) molecules are approximately 80 nucleotides in length. Their secondary structure includes four short double-helical elements and three loops (D, anti-codon, and T loops). The record is from RNAcentral. Lineage: Eukaryota; Fungi; Ascomycota; Sordariomycetes; Xylariales; Hypoxylaceae.
UGCCUAUUGGCCCAGUGGUUAAGGCGUCCGGCUGUUAUCCGACAGAAAAAACCGGAAGAUCCCUGGUUCGACCCCAGGAUGGGCAG